Molecule: ribosomal RNA, 881 nt
Filed under: uncultured archaeon
Lineage: Archaea
Description: bacterial SSU rRNA
Rfam family: Archaeal small subunit ribosomal RNA
Source: RNAcentral
GAUAACCCCGGGAAACGGGGUAUAAUACCCGAUUGGUCGGCAUUGCGGGAUGGCACCUCAAUUUAAUGCUCCGGCGCCUAAGGAUGGGUCUGCGGCCUAUCAGGUAGUUGUGGGUGUAACUGACCUACUAGCCUACAACCGGUACGGGUUGUGAGAGCAAGAGCCCGGAGAUGGAUUCUGAGACACGGUUCCAGGCCCUACGGGGUGCAGCAGGCGCGAAAACUUUACAAUGCUGGCAAUCGCGAUAGGGGAACCUCAAGUGCCAGGUUUCAAAUCUGGGUUUUUCGAUGCCUAAAAAGCAUUUCAGAACAAGGGCCGGGCAAGACCGGUGCCAGCCGCCGCGGUAACACCGGCGGCUCGAGUGGUGACCGUUUUUAUUGGGUCUAAAGGGUCUGUAGCCGGCUUGAUAAGUCUCUUGAGAAAUCUGGCAGCUUAACUGUGGGGCUUUCUGGAGAUACUGUCUGGCUCGAGGCCGGGAGAGGUGAGAGGUACUUCCGGGGUAGGGGUGAAAUCUUGUAAUCCUUGAAGGACCACCUGUGGCGAAGGCGUCUCACUGGAACGGACCUGACGGCGAGGGACGAAAGCUAGGGGCACGAACCGGAUUAGAUACCCGGGUAGUCCUAGCCGUAAACGAUACUCGACUAGGUGUCGGCCACGGCUGCGACCGUUCGUCGAGUGCCGUACGGGAAGCCUGUGUAAGCUGCGCCACCUGGGAAGUACGGCUCGCAAGACUGAAACUUAAAGGAAUUGGCGGGGGAGCACCACAACGCGUGGAGCUCUGCGGUUUAAUUGGAUUCAACGCCAGGACAUCUCACCGGGAGCGACAGCAUAUGAUGGCCAGGCUGAAUGACUUUGCCUUGACUAGCUGAAAGUAGGUGCAU